CCCUGACUUGAGGAUCCAGCAGGAACCAAGUUGCUAGCUUUGCUGGUGUUGAGAGGCAAAACACCAUGGUUAAACCUCUGAGAAGGAAUACUGAGCUGCUCGUAAAGGGCCAUCUUGUUCCUUGGAGGUGCUCUUGGCCCUCCUUUCUCGGUAUUAUUGACAUGAAGCCUAGGGAACAUAGGCCCCAUUUUCUUUUCAUCAUCAUUCCCUCUCUUCAUCUCCUUCAUCUAUCGCUCAAACGUGAGGCAAACCCAUAACCAAAAAACUUAAUUUCUCAUUUAGCUCAACGGAUGAAGUAACCUCCCAAAAAAACAAAACUUUUUUUGAAACCCAGUUGCAGAAACUGA
RNAcentral lists this unclassified non-coding RNA (347 nucleotides) under Hevea brasiliensis (rubber tree). Lineage: Eukaryota; Viridiplantae; Streptophyta; Magnoliopsida; Malpighiales; Euphorbiaceae. The record is from RNAcentral.